Molecule: long non-coding RNA, 979 nt
Filed under: Triticum aestivum (bread wheat)
Lineage: Eukaryota; Viridiplantae; Streptophyta; Magnoliopsida; Poales; Poaceae
Description: long non-coding RNA (TAES_LNC018165)
Source: RNAcentral
GCUGAUGUGGCAAAUGGUCACUCUUUUCCCGGCCAGUGUUUACAGCUCAUAAAUUCCCCAAAUGGGCGCUUGAACCCUAAAUUCCCCAUUGACGCUCGCUCGCUCGAUCCAAGACCUCACGCUCGAAUUCAGGCCUCACUCUUGAAUCGGCUGCAGUCCAUGGCGUCAUCCACGAGCUUCUCGGCUAGCUCCUCCACGGGACGCAGGUCCUAUUCUAGUGGUACGGCGGCAGCGACACUGUCGCCGGUGCCAUAUCAUGAGGGUCCGUUGCAGUACAAGUUAGUGUUGUGCGGAUGCGGAGUGAAAGCCCGUCGGCAGAAGCCUGUUGAAUCCAGGGCGAAGGUACCAGGAAAUCAAAGGUGUGUUCUUGCUGUUCUUUGUGUGAGCCUAUUUUCUUGGAGAAGUCCAUUGUUAGCUGAUUGCAAUGCAAUUUCAGGGUCUGGACUGUUGGUGAAUCGUGGCAUGAUGUUGCUGAAUCGUCUGAAAAAAGAGAAGAUGUAAUUGAAGAAUCUCGCUCUAGGCUGAAGCUUGCAUGGCGAAGGUAGUUGACUGGAGAUGGGCAUGAGGUUGUUUGUGAAUGAGAUGCAAUUCAAGCACGCAGCAGUAGUAGAAUUAGGUCCUUAAGUAGAAGACUUGCAGAUAAAAUUAACAAGAUUUAGAUCGUGAGUAGUGCCUGUUGUAAUUCACAUGAGUAGUGCUUCAUGCUGAGAAUUUAUAAGAAAAUGUCUGUAGGAUGUUCAGAAGAUUGGAUUUUUCAGAAAAAAAAUUCCUCAGCGUAAGCACACAAUUCUGCAUAACUGAGCAUAAACGCCUCUGCCUCUAGUUCUCCUGUGUAGUCAGCCUGUCCAUUUUUCCUCUCAAAUGAGCCGGCUUAAUGAUAUCUGGCCAACAAGUAAUCAAGUGGAUCUCGCGGAUCCAUACGAGCUGCAAAAUGAAUGAAUUUCUUAUCAGUUAUACUUACAGAGUAAACAAAUGCAAU